UACACACUGCCCGUCACGCCAUGGGAGUUGUCUUUAUCUUAAGCCGGUAAGCUAACCGCAAGGAGGCAGCCGUCCACGGUAAGGUCAGCGACUGGGGUG
RNAcentral lists this ribosomal RNA (99 nucleotides) under uncultured bacterium. RNAcentral's name for it is "partial 16S ribosomal RNA". It matches the Rfam family "Bacterial small subunit ribosomal RNA", at positions 1384 to 1482 of the family's 1533-position model. The record is from RNAcentral.